RNAcentral lists this ribosomal RNA (497 nucleotides) under uncultured bacterium. RNAcentral describes it as "bacterial SSU rRNA". It matches the Rfam family "Bacterial small subunit ribosomal RNA", at positions 19 to 524 of the family's 1533-position model. The record is from RNAcentral.
CUGGCUCAGGACGAACGCUGGCGGCGUGCUUAACACAUGCAAGUCGAACGAUGAAGCCUAGCUUGCUAGGUGGAUUAGUGGCGAACGGGUGAGUAAUACGUGAGUAACCUACCUUUAACUCUGGGAUAAGCCUGGGAAACUGGGUCUAAUACCGGAUACGACCAAUCUCCGCAUGGGGUGUUGGUGGAAAGCGUUAUGUAGUGGUUAUAGAUGGGCUCACGGCCUAUCAGCUUGUUGGUGAGGUAACGGCUCACCAAGGCGACGACGGGUAGCCGGCCUGAGAGGGUGACCGGCCACACUGGGACUGAGACACGGCCCAGACUCCUACGGGAGGCAGCAGUGGGGAAUAUUGCACAAUGGGCGCAAGCCUGAUGCAGCGACGCCGCGUGAGGGAUGACGGCCUUCGGGUUGUAAACCUCUGUUAGCAGGGAAGAAGAGAGAUUGACGGUACCUGCAGAGAAAGCGCCGGCUAACUACGUGCCAGCAGCCGCGGUAAU